UGCAAGUCGAACGAGUUCUGAUUAUUGAAAGGUGCUUGCAUCUUGAUUUAAUUUUGAACGAGUGGCGGACGGGUGAGUAACACGUGGGUAACCUGCCCUUAAGUGGGGGAUAACAUUUGGAAACAGAUGCUAAUACCGCAUAAAUCCAAGAACCGCAUGGUUCUUGGCUGAAAGAUGGCGUAAGCUAUCGCUUUUGGAUGGACCCGCGGCGUAUUAGCUAGUUGGUGAGGUAACGGCUCACCAAGGCAAUGAUACGUAGCCGAACUGAGAGGUUGAUCGGCCACAUUGGGACUGAGACACGGCCCAAACUCCUACGGGAGGCAGCAGUAGGGAAUCUUCCACAAUGGACGCAAGUCUGAUGGAGCAACGCCGCGUGAGUGAAGAAGGCUUUCGGGUCGUAAAACUCUGUUGUUGGAGAAGAAUGGUCGGCAGAGUAACUGUUGUCGGCGUGACGGUAUCCAACCAGAAAGCCACGGCUAACUACGUGCCAGCAGCCGCGGUAAUACGUAGGUGGCAAGCGUUAUCCGGAUUUAUUGGGCGUAAAGCGAGCGCAGGCGGUUUUUUAAGUCUGAUGUGAAAGCCCUCGGCUUAACCGAGGAAGUGCAUCGGAAACUGGGAAACUUGAGUGCAGAAGAGGACAGUGGAACUCCAUGUGUAGCGGUGAAAUGCGUAGAUAUAUGGAAGAACACCAGUGGCGAAGGCGGCUGUCUGGUCUGUAACUGACGCUGAGGCUCGAAAGCAUGGGUAGCGAACAGGAUUAGAUACCCUGGUAGUCCAUGCCGUAAACGAUGAAUGCUAGGUGUUGGAGGGUUUCCGCCCUUCAGUGCCGCAGCUAACGCAUUAAGCAUUCCGCCUGGGGAGUACGACCGCAAGGUUGAAACUCAAAGGAAUUGACGGGGGCCCGCACAAGCGGUGGAGCAUGUGGUUUAAUUCGAAGCAACGCGAAGAACCUUACCAGGUCUUGACAUCUUUUGAUCACCUGAGAGAUCAGGUUUCCCCUUCGGGGGCAAAAUGACAGGUGGUGCAUGGUUGUCGUCAGCUCGUGUCGUGAGAUGUUGGGUUAAGUCCCGCAACGAGCGCAACCCUUAUGACUAGUUGCCAGCAUUUAGUUGGGCACUCUAGUAAGACUGCCGGUGACAAACCGGAGGAAGGUGGGGAUGACGUCAAAUCAUCAUGCCCCUUAUGACCUGGGCUACACACGUGCUACAAUGGAUGGUACAACGAGUUGCGAGACCGCGAGGUCAAGCUAAUCUCUUAAAGCCAUUCUCAGUUCGGACUGUAGGCUGCAACUCGCCUACACGAAGUCGGAAUCGCUAGUAAUCGCGGAUCAGCACGCCGCGGUGAAUACGUUCCCGGGCCUUGUACACACCGCCCGUCACACCAUGAGAGUUUGUAACACCCGAAGCCGGUGGCGUAACCCUUUUAGGGAGCGAGCCGU
This 1438-nucleotide ribosomal RNA is filed under the name Lacticaseibacillus rhamnosus. RNAcentral's name for it is "bacterial SSU rRNA". It matches the Rfam family "Bacterial small subunit ribosomal RNA". Lineage: Bacteria; Bacillati; Bacillota; Bacilli; Lactobacillales; Lactobacillaceae. The record is from RNAcentral. RNAcentral also lists the same sequence under 1 other name.